CGCGUAGGUAACCUGCCUGGUAGCGGGGGAUAACUAUUGGAAACGAUAGCUAAUACCGCAUAAAAUUGAUUAUUGCAUGAUAGUCAAUUAAAAGGUGCAAUUGCACCACUACCAGAUGGACCUGCGUUGUAUUAGCUAGUUGGUGAGGUAAAGGCUCACCAAGGCAACGAUACAUAGCCGACCUGAGAGGGUGAUCGGCCACACUGGGACUGAGACACGGCCCAG
Molecule: ribosomal RNA, 225 nt
Filed under: uncultured bacterium
Lineage: Bacteria
Description: partial 16S ribosomal RNA
Rfam family: Bacterial small subunit ribosomal RNA
Source: RNAcentral